This is a transfer RNA of Colletotrichum gloeosporioides Cg-14, 83 nucleotides long. It matches the Rfam family "tRNA". Rfam says of the family: Transfer RNA (tRNA) molecules are approximately 80 nucleotides in length. Their secondary structure includes four short double-helical elements and three loops (D, anti-codon, and T loops). Lineage: Eukaryota; Fungi; Ascomycota; Sordariomycetes; Glomerellales; Glomerellaceae. The record is from Rfam.
GGCCGGUUGGCCCAAUGGCAAGGCGUCUGACUACGAUUCAUCGUGCAAUCAGGAGAUUCUGGGUUCGACCCCCAGGCUGGUCA